UCACCCUCUAAAUCACCCUCUUGGAACCAAGUUCCUCCCCUUCUCCUUCUUCAUUUGGAGCGGUUUGAGCUUACCGUAGACUCUACCCGUCUUCUCCAAAUCUGCACAUCACUUCUCUAAAAUCCUUAUCUUUCCAUUAAAAACCCUUCAUCUCUCCCUCACAUUUGCUCUCCUAAGUUCUGUGCUAGUCCUGCCUGUGCAAAUGGCUCCCAAGAUGAAGCUUCCAUAGAGGAGAAAAUCAGUUCGCGGGUUGGAGAAAAGUGUGCGUCGAAAGAGACUAG
This 281-nucleotide long non-coding RNA is filed under the name Elaeis guineensis (African oil palm). RNAcentral's name for it is "long non-coding RNA (EGUI_LNC050992)". Lineage: Eukaryota; Viridiplantae; Streptophyta; Magnoliopsida; Arecales; Arecaceae. The record is from RNAcentral.